RNAcentral lists this ribosomal RNA (301 nucleotides) under uncultured bacterium. Its description in RNAcentral is "partial 16S ribosomal RNA". It matches the Rfam family "Bacterial small subunit ribosomal RNA", at positions 509 to 807 of the family's 1533-position model. The record is from RNAcentral.
CAGUAGCCGCGGUAAUACAGAGGGUGCGAGCGUUAAUCGGAUUUACUGGGCGUAAAGCGUGCGUAGGCGGCUUCUUAAGUCGGAUGUGAAAUCCCUGAGCUUAACUUAGGAAUUGCAUUCGAUACUGGGAAGCUAGAGUAUGGAAGAGGAUGGUAGAAUUCCAGGUGUAGCGGUGAAAUGCGUAGAGAUCUGGAGGAAUACCGAUGGCGAAGGCAGCCAUCUGGCCUAAUACUGACGCUGAGGUACGAAAGCAUGGGGAGCAAACAGGAUUAGAUACCCCCGUAGUCCCUGUCUCUUAUAC